Molecule: ribosomal RNA, 1162 nt
Filed under: Nostoc sp. LW8I-PS
Lineage: Bacteria; Bacillati; Cyanobacteriota; Cyanophyceae; Nostocales; Nostocaceae
Description: bacterial SSU rRNA
Rfam family: Bacterial small subunit ribosomal RNA
Source: RNAcentral
GGGGAAUUUUCCGCAAUGGGCGAAAGCCUGACGGAGCAAUACCGCGUGAGGGAAGAAGGCUCUUGGGUUGUAAACCUCUUUUCUCAAGGAAUAAGUACUGAAGGUACUUGAGGAAUCAGCAUCGGCUAACUCCGUGCCAGCAGCCGCGGUAAUACGGAGGAUGCAAGCGUUAUCCGGAAUGAUUGGGCGUAAAGCGUCCGCAGGUGGCUGUGUAAGUCUGCUGUUAAAGAGUGAGGCUCAACCUCAUAAAAGCAGUGGAAACUACACAGCUAGAGUGCGUUCGGGGCAGAGGGAAUUCCUGGUGUAGCGGUGAAAUGCGUAGAGAUCAGGAAGAACACCGGUGGCGAAGGCGCUCUGCUAGGCCGCAACUGACACUGAGGGACGAAAGCUAGGGGAGCGAAUGGGAUUAGAUACCCCAGUAGUCCUAGCCGUAAACGAUGGAUACUAGGCGUUGCGAGUAUCGACCCUCGCAGUGCCGGAGCCAACGCGUUAAGUAUCCCGCCUGGGGAGUACGCACGCAAGUGUGAAACUCAAAGGAAUUGACGGGGGCCCGCACAAGCGGUGGAGUAUGUGGUUUAAUUCGAUGCAACGCGAAGAACCUUACCAAGACUUGACAUGUCGCGAACUUUUCUGAAAGGAAGAGGUGCCUUCGGGAGCGCGAACACAGGUGGUGCAUGGCUGUCGUCAGCUCGUGUCGUGAGAUGUUGGGUUAAGUCCCGCAACGAGCGCAACCCUCGUUUUUAGUUGCCAGCAUUAAGUUGGGCACUCUAGAGAGACUGCCGGUGACAAACCGGAGGAAGGUGGGGAUGACGUCAAGUCAGCAUGCCCCUUACGUCUUGGGCUACACACGUACUACAAUGCUACGAACAGAGGGCAGCAAGCUAGCGAUAGCAAGCAAAUCCCGGAAAUCGUAGCUCAGUUCAGAUCGCAGGCUGCAACUCGCCUGCGUGAAGGAGGAAUCGCUAGUAAUUGCAGGUCAGCAUACUGCAGUGAAUUCGUUCCCGGGCCUCGUACACACCGCCCGUCACACCAUGGAAGCUGGUCACGCCCGAAGUCAUUACCCCAACUCUUCGGAGAGGGGGAUGCCUAAGGUAGGACUGGUGACUGGGGUGAAGUCGUAACAAGGUAGCCGUACCGGAAGGUGUGGCUGGAUCACCUCCUU